Molecule: ribosomal RNA, 495 nt
Filed under: uncultured bacterium
Lineage: Bacteria
Description: bacterial SSU rRNA
Rfam family: Bacterial small subunit ribosomal RNA
Source: RNAcentral
AACGAACGCUGGCGGCGCGCCUAAUACAUGCAAGUCGAGCGAGAAGACGUAGCAAUACGUUUGUAAAGCGGCGAACGGGUGAGGAAUACAUGGGUAACCUACCCUCGAGUGGGGAAUAACUAGCCGAAAGGUUAGCUAAUACCGCGUACGCUCCUUGGACUUCGGUUCAGGGAGGAAAGCGAUACCGUGGGUAUCGCGCUCUUGGAUGGGCUCAUGUCCUAUCAGCUUGUUGGUGAGGAACGGCUCACCAAGGCUUCGACGGGUAGCUGGUCUGAGAGGACGAUCAGCCACACUGGCACUGCGACACGGGCCAGACUCCUACGGGAGGCAGCAGUAAGGAAUAUUGCGCAAUGGGCGAAAGCCUGACGCAGCGACGCCGCGUGGGGGAUGAAGGUCUUCGGAUUGUAAACCCCUUUCGGGAGGGAAGAGAGCUCAGGGCCGAAUAAGCUUUGAGUCCGACGGUACCUUGCGUAAGCCACGGCUAACUACGUGCCA